Molecule: ribosomal RNA, 450 nt
Filed under: uncultured bacterium
Lineage: Bacteria
Description: partial 16S ribosomal RNA
Rfam family: Bacterial small subunit ribosomal RNA
Source: RNAcentral
GUGGGGAAUUUUGGACAAUGGGCGCAAGCCUGAUCCAGCAAUGCCGCGUGCAGGAAGAAGGCCUUCGGGUUGUAAACUGCUUUUGUACGGAACGAAACGGUCCUGGCUAAUAUCCGGGGCUAAUGACGGUACCGUAAGAAUAAGCACCGGCUAACUACGUGCCAGCAGCCGCGGUAAUACGUAGGGUGCGAGCGUUAAUCGGAAUUACUGGGCGUAAAGCGUGCGCAGGCGGUGCUGUAAGACAGGCGUGAAAGCCCCGGGCUCAACCUGGGAAUUGCGCUUGUGACUGCAGUGCUGGAGUGCGGCAGAGGGGGAUGGAAUUACGCGUGUAGCAGUGAAAUGCGUAGAUAUGCGGAGGAACACCGAUGGCGAAGGCAAUCCCCUGGGCCUGCACUGACGCUCAUGCACGAAAGCGUGGGGAGCAAACAGGAUUAGAAACCCCAGUAGUCC